AGUGAACGCUGGCGGUAGGCCUAACACAUGCAAGUCGAACGGCAGCACAGUAAGAGCUUGCUCUUACGGGUGGCGAGUGGCGGACGGGUGAGGAAUACAUCGGAAUCUACUUUUUCGUGGGGGAUAACGUAGGGAAACUUACGCUAAUACCGCAUACGACCUACGGGUGAAAGCAGGGGAUCUUCGGACCUUGCGCGAUUGAAUGAGUCGAUGUCGGAUUAGCUAGUUGGCGGGGUAAAGGCCCACCAAGGCGACGAUCCGUAGCUGGUCUGAGAGGAUGAUCAGCCACACUGGAACUGAGACACGGUCCAGACUCCUACGGGAGGCAGCAGUGGGGAAUAUUGGACAAAGGGCGCAAGCCUGAUCCAGCCAUACCGCGUGGGUGAAGAAGGCCUUCGGGUUGUAAAGCCCUUUUGUUGGGAAAGAAGAGCAGCAGGUUAAUACCCCGCUGUUCUGACGGUACCCAAAGAAUAAGCACCGGCUAACUUCGUG
RNAcentral lists this ribosomal RNA (492 nucleotides) under uncultured bacterium. RNAcentral describes it as "partial 16S ribosomal RNA". It matches the Rfam family "Bacterial small subunit ribosomal RNA", at positions 29 to 507 of the family's 1533-position model. The record is from RNAcentral.